AGUGAACGCUGGCGGCGUGCCUAAUACAUGCAAGUCGAACGGAGAUUAAGUAGCUUGCUAUUUAAUCUUAGUGGCGCACGGGUGAGUAAUAUAUAGCUAACUUGCCCAUUACUAAGGGACAACAGUUGGAAACGACUGCUAAUACCUUAUACUCCGUAUCUAUAUAAGUAGAUACGGGAAAGUUUUUCGGUAAUGGAUAGGGCUAUAUCGUAUCAGCUAGUUGGUAAGGUAAUGGCUUACCAAGGCUAUGACGCGUAACUGGUCUGAGAGGAUGAUCAGUUACACUGGAACUGAGACACGGUCCAGACUCCUACGGGAGGCAGCAGUAGGGAAUAUUGCUCAAUGGGGGAAACCCUGAAGCAGCAACGCCGCGUGGAGGAUGACACUUUUCGGAGCGUAAACUCCUUUUCUUGGGAAAGAAUUAUGACGGUACCCAAGGAAUAAGCACCGGCUAACUCCGUG
Molecule: ribosomal RNA, 462 nt
Filed under: uncultured bacterium
Lineage: Bacteria
Description: partial 16S ribosomal RNA
Rfam family: Bacterial small subunit ribosomal RNA
Source: RNAcentral